This 199-nucleotide ribosomal RNA is filed under the name uncultured bacterium. Its description in RNAcentral is "partial 16S ribosomal RNA". It matches the Rfam family "Bacterial small subunit ribosomal RNA", at positions 328 to 539 of the family's 1533-position model. The record is from RNAcentral.
ACGCUCGACACCUACGGGAGCAGCAGUGGGGAAUAUUGCACAAUGGGGGAAACCCUGAUGCAGCGACGCCGCGUGAAGGAAGAAGUAUUUCGGUAUGUAAACUUCUAUCAGCAGGGAAGAAAAUGACGGUACCUGACUAAGAAGCCCCGGCUAACUACGUGCCAGCAGCCGACGGUAAUCUGAGGCGGGCUGGCAAGGC